This 610-nucleotide ribosomal RNA is filed under the name uncultured delta proteobacterium. RNAcentral's name for it is "bacterial SSU rRNA". It matches the Rfam family "Bacterial small subunit ribosomal RNA", at positions 40 to 651 of the family's 1533-position model. The record is from RNAcentral. Lineage: Bacteria; Deltaproteobacteria.
CGGCAUGCUUAACACAUGCAAGUCGCACGUGAAAGCUUCCUUCGGGAAGUAAGUAAAGUGGCGCACGGGUGAGUAACACGUGGAUAAUCUGCCCAGUAAUCCGGGAUAACAUCUCGAAAGAGAUGCUAAUACCUGAUAAGCCCACGAUCUCUUCGGAGAACGAGGGAAAAGGUGGGGACCUUCGGGCCUACCGUUACUGGAUGAGUCCGCGGCCCAUUAGCUAGUUGGUAGGGUAAUGGCCUACCAAGGCUACGAUGGGUAGCUGGUCUGAGAGGAUGAUCAGCCACACUGGAACUGAGACACUGCCCGGACUCCUACGGGAGGCUGCAGUAACGAAUCUUCCGCAAUGCGCGAAAGCGUGACGGAGCAAUGCCGCGUGUAGGAUGAAGCUUUUCGGAGUGUAAACUACUGUCAGGGUUCAGCAACACAAUGAGCAGACCCAAAGGAAGGGCCGGCUAACUUCGUGCCAGCAGCCGCGGUAAUACGAAGGGCCCGAGCGUUGCGCGGAAUCAUUGGGCUUAAAGCGUACGCAGGCGGACACACAGGCGUUUUGUGAAAUCCCUCGGCUCAACCGAGGAACUGCUUGACGAACCGUGUGUCUUGAGGCAAG